This is a long non-coding RNA of Gossypium arboreum, 395 nucleotides long. RefSeq lists it as uncharacterized. The record is from RefSeq and is a predicted model, not a curated record. The transcript has 2 exons. NCBI's taxonomy places the organism in Eukaryota, Viridiplantae, Streptophyta, Magnoliopsida, Malvales, Malvaceae.
AUCUCAUUCAAAAAUUUUCCAAACACCAAAUGAAAACUUCUCUCUCAAAAUUGAUUCAUCCUUUUAGAAUUUCUAAUCUUCCGAACACGAAUUCCUCCUUCAAUCUUAAAGAAAUUCAUCUUUUCUCCUUCAAUAUCACCAUUGCUCUUCAACAUGUUUUUGGUCGAAUUUGAUCCUAAACUUAUCAAUUACUUCAAAUUAAGAGAAAUUGCUUGUGUGGAGUGGUGAAGUGAGCAAGCUUGUGAUCCGAAGGCAAAGCUACUUGAUUGUGUAUGUGAGAUAGUUUAUUGAAAAAUAAAUGAUGGCAAUGUCGGAUUAGACUUUAAUUUUUGUUUUGGUUUGUAAAUGGACAUUUCAUGGACUAUUUAAGGACUUUUAUUGCUUGGAUUUUUGCA